Molecule: transfer RNA, 90 nt
Filed under: Puniceicoccales bacterium
Lineage: Bacteria; Pseudomonadati; Verrucomicrobiota; Opitutia; Puniceicoccales
Description: tRNA-Ser
Rfam family: tRNA
About the family: Transfer RNA (tRNA) molecules are approximately 80 nucleotides in length.
Source: RNAcentral
GGAGAGAUGGCAGAGUGGUUUAUUGCAUCGGUCUUGAAAACCGAAGUGCCAGCAACGGUACCGUGGGUUCGAAUCCCUCUCUCUCCGCCA